Molecule: long non-coding RNA, 706 nt
Filed under: Panax ginseng (ginseng)
Lineage: Eukaryota; Viridiplantae; Streptophyta; Magnoliopsida; Apiales; Araliaceae
Description: long non-coding RNA (PGIN_LNC013105)
Rfam family: MIR6135 microRNA precursor family (bases 334-455)
Source: RNAcentral
UUUUGCAAUGCAAAAUCCAAAUAAUUUUGAUUUACCAGAAGAAUUGCCAUGGAAUAUGGAUGCUACAAAUUUUGCAUGGCAACCAAUAGUGCAAAUGCAAGAAUUUGGAUCAUUUUCACACGAAGAUCAACUGAAAAUUUCUACUAAUUUGGUCAACGAUAAUUGGAGCUCGACGUCGGUGGAUUUAUCGGGCUACGAGAUAUUUUAAAGACCUUAAAUUAUAGCCCUAUUCAAAGGGUUCAAAGUUCACUACUUUUUUCUUUUUCUUUUUUUUUAACAUUUUCAAGAAAGAUAUUUAUAUACAUACAUAUUAUAAACACGGAAGUGGUUACUAUGAAGUUUAUUUUGAAGUAAGUUGGUCAAUUGAUCAAUAGAAUACUGACACGCAGGCGGGGUUGUAUGUGUGUCAAUAUUCUAUUGACCAAUUGACCAACUUAACAAAAAAAUAACUUCAUGCUAACCGGAUCCCAUAAACACAUGUGAUGGACACUACUAUACUCAUUUAACUGAGGUUACAAUAAAAUCAGAUAUUGUUGAGGAGUUAAUUAUAUUUCUCACUUACCAAUUACUAGCUACCUGUAUGUACUGCUUCCAUGACACAAAAAGAAUCGCAUUUACAAUAUUUGUAAAUAUUAAAAAAUUAUUUUUAUUUCAUGUAUACAGUUAAAAAAUAUAAGUUUCUAGUCUAGUGAUAUAAUAUGACAUA